Molecule: long non-coding RNA, 455 nt
Organism: Nicotiana tabacum (common tobacco)
Lineage: Eukaryota; Viridiplantae; Streptophyta; Magnoliopsida; Solanales; Solanaceae
Source: RefSeq, a predicted model, not a curated record
GUAUAUGCCAAUGAACAUGUUGACAUGAGGCUGUCCUAUAAUUAUGAUAUCUGCCUAUCAAGAAAAUCACCAACAUACUCACAUCCUCCAUCAAUAGUAGCAGAGUAGAGAUGGGCAAGGAAUGCGCUAUGAUAAAGUUUGCCUUCGUAUUCACUAUUGUCGUCACGACAAUUACUGUUAAUCUGUCUUCUUCUCAAAAGAUGCAAUCAAUGGCUAUGCGAAAUUUGCCCCACAAUAUGCUAUCGGUGAAACAAAAAUUACUGCCACUCAAUGAUUUCAUGACAUGCGGGAGAAUUUGUCGUAAAAAGAGUGAUUGUUCAGAUGGUUGGAUUUGUUAUGAGUGCAUAUAUACUCCUGCGACUGUAAUUGCUCCUGCCCUCUACCAGUGUGACUUGUGAGAAGAUCUUUCGCAAAAAUAACUUUAACAAGUUCUCGAGUGAAAAAAAAAAAAAAAA